This 334-nucleotide ribosomal RNA is filed under the name uncultured eukaryote. RNAcentral describes it as "partial 18S ribosomal RNA". It matches the Rfam family "Eukaryotic small subunit ribosomal RNA", at positions 1470 to 1796 of the family's 1831-position model. The record is from RNAcentral.
CCCUUAGAUGUCCUGGGCCGCACGCGCGCUACACUGAUGCAUGCAACGAGUUUAUAACCUUGGCCUGAAAGGUCUGGGUAAUCUUUUGAACGUGCAUCGUGAUAGGGAUAGAUUAUUGCAAUUGUUAAUCUUGAACGAGGAAUUCCCAGUAAGCGCGAGUCAUAAGCUCGCGUUGAUUACGUCCCUGCCCUUUGUACACACCGCCCGUCGCUACUACCGAUUGAACGGUUUAGUGAGGGCCUCGGAUUGGUCUCGGCCCGCUCUUUACCGGGCGGCGCCGUUGGUCGAGAAGACGCUCGAACUUGAUCGUUUAGAGGAAGUAAAAGUCGUAACA